RNAcentral lists this transfer RNA (74 nucleotides) under Loxodonta africana (African savanna elephant). It matches the Rfam family "tRNA". From Rfam's summary of the family: Transfer RNA (tRNA) molecules are approximately 80 nucleotides in length. Their secondary structure includes four short double-helical elements and three loops (D, anti-codon, and T loops). The record is from Rfam by way of RNAcentral. Lineage: Eukaryota; Metazoa; Chordata; Mammalia; Proboscidea; Elephantidae.
CCCUGUGUGGUGCAAAUGGUUAACACAUUUGGCUGCUCACCAAAAGGUUGGAGGUUAAAGUCCACCCAGAGGCA